Corythoichthys intestinalis (scribbled pipefish) is the source of this 1225-nucleotide long non-coding RNA. RefSeq lists it as uncharacterized. The record is from RefSeq and is a predicted model, not a curated record. NCBI's taxonomy places the organism in Eukaryota, Metazoa, Chordata, Actinopteri, Syngnathiformes, Syngnathidae. The transcript has 3 exons.
CCUGGCCGUGAAUGAAUAAUUGUUCAAUUGGAUUAAACAUGUAUCGCUCGCCGGCUGUUAGGCCUUGUUCAGAUUGACAGCUAAAAUCCAAUAUUUAGCCCAUCUACACUAAAAAUUGCUGGCUUUUUGUAGCCUGAACAGUCACAAAGCACAGAAAUCUGUUUUUGUGAGAGUGAUUGAAAACACAUACGGGAGAAAGCUGUAUUUCAGAUAUGGACAAGAUGAACAGCUCAAAUGGGUUUUGACUGUCCGUGACGCCACUCUAUGCUGAAUGACGCCUCCAUUGCCACUGCAACCUGUCAGGCUAGUCAAUAAUGUGGCCCGGUCUGAAUAGGCCUUGAUUUGGAUACUUGCAUAAAAUAUUGUGAACAGGCAGCUCUAGAAAUCAGAUUUGACGAGAAAUCCGAUUGGAAUCGGAUACAGGAAUCUGAGCACCACUUGUCUUGAAGGGUUAAUGAGAGUAUGCUUGGGUGUGGGUGUGUCACUGUCCCUCUGCCACCUAAUGAAUAUCACCUGUGGCUAUACCAGUGAAUGUUUGGUUGAUGUAGGAAAUUUCAGUUUUCUGUUCAUUCAUGAGCACACGCUCGGUUUGUAGAUGGGCGCUGUUACUAUUUGAGCUCGCGCUGAUGUCGGCAUUAUUCAGUCAUGUGGUCAAAGGACACGGAUUGUACAUACCAUCACAUCAAGACUGAAAUGAGUGAAUGAACGUCAUCGUAUGACAAUUUUGGCUUAACGUGAGCCCCCAUGGAUACAGUGUCAGACAGAGCCCUGCACUCUAUUGGUGCACGGGCACGUGUCUGGACGCAGAUGAAUAACCAGAGGUUCCUUGGUUAUCUCGACUUCCUUGAGCGUUCCAGCGGGCUCCAGAUGUAGCGAUUCAUCAUCAUCUAUCCAUUCGAUUUUCAACCAGAGACAGGAUGGGCCGGCCCGUCAAACAUCUGCGCUAGAGAUCAUACACGUUCCAGUUGAAGAAAAACUGCACCAAAGCAUGACGCUGUGCUCAACCUGGGUUUCAAAAGCACAUGAGGGAAAUUCCGCGAUAGCGGGCGACCAGUUCAGGGUGUACUCCUCCUGCGCAUGGUCAGCGCGGAUAGAUUACAGCAACUUCACGAUCCUUGUGAGGAUGAACAGUAAGAAUAUUGAACAAAUGAAAUUGGGAAAAUGCAAUGUGAUCUGAUGAAAGUUUGAACAACAUGCAAUAUUUAAUGUACAAAUUAUUAGAAUU